CUCGCGGGCUUUCUGCAGGUUGCCGGCCCACCCAGGCGCUCUGUGUUUACAGUACUUGUUAGUAGGUAAGAACGCCUGCUUGACUGGUACUGGAAGAUGCUACAUUUUCUGGUCUAAGAACUAAAAAGCAGGGAAAGAGCUGCCAGGACCUGAUUCGGAAAUAAGGCUUCACUUCCGGAAGCAACAGCGCUCAGAAUCGUGGAGCUCUACCCAAGACAAAGAUGUCUAUACCGUACCUUCUUCACAACAGCAGCAGCAGAUUAACAACAGUGUGAAACUUGGUUAAGCUGCUGUGAACAGUCAAAGGACAUCUGCAAGUGUUGGAAUCAGCUUUUUAAAAACAGUGAGGGCGUUUCCUCAGUUACUAUUACCCGGAUACUCCAAACUUAUUUCUGAAUCUGGGACAUGCUUGCUAAGAAUUGAAGCUUGGCAUUAAUUGAUGUGUGGUUGUCACUGUUAGUUAUUGUUAAGAUGAUUUGCUUUACAGAAGCAAAUAUAACAUGUGCCUGUAUGAAAUAAAAG
Non-coding RNA from Peromyscus maniculatus bairdii (prairie deer mouse), 522 nucleotides. Lineage: Eukaryota; Metazoa; Chordata; Mammalia; Rodentia; Cricetidae. The record is from RefSeq and is a predicted model, not a curated record.